CGAGAACCUAAGGCAUAAGGACCAAGGGAAUUUGCGCAACCUCCUCUUCACGAACCUGCACGAAUGAUACAAGUUCCCCGGUGACGUCGCAAACACACGCCUCUCAAGUAAUAAAGUGAACAGUGCCUGUCUACUUGGAGAAGCGCGGUGAAGAGAAUGAUUGACAAAGGUGAUAGUUAUGAGAAGAUCAAGGCGAAAAAUCCUUCGAUCAGUGAAGAUGGCUACAAGGAGUUCAAGAUCAAGUGCGAGAGCAAGGCAACCGCGGAAUCAAGUCAGUGGGG
RNAcentral lists this long non-coding RNA (281 nucleotides) under Hordeum vulgare. Its description in RNAcentral is "long non-coding RNA (HVUL_LNC014733)". The record is from RNAcentral. Lineage: Eukaryota; Viridiplantae; Streptophyta; Magnoliopsida; Poales; Poaceae.